This 253-nucleotide ribosomal RNA is filed under the name uncultured bacterium. RNAcentral's name for it is "partial 16S ribosomal RNA". It matches the Rfam family "Bacterial small subunit ribosomal RNA", at positions 524 to 776 of the family's 1533-position model. The record is from RNAcentral.
UACGUAGGGUGCGAGCGUUGUCCGGAAUCAUUGGGCGUAAAGCGCGUGUAGGCGGCUCGGUAAGUCCGGUGUGAAACCUUGGGGCUCAACCCCAAGCCUGCACUGGAUACUGUCGAGCUUGAGUCCGGGAGGGGAGAGCGGAAUUCCUAGUGUAGCGGUGAAAUGCGCAGAUAUCAGGAGGAACACCGGUGGCGAAGGCGGUUCUCUGGGCAUUACCUGACGCUGAGGAGCGAAAGUGUGGGGAGCGAACAGG